UACGUAAAAUGUGUGCGUUUUCACGCUGCGCAAGAAGCGGGAGAGAUAGCAAAUCGGAUGCAUAGUUGUAUGUUGGUUUAUUCGGUGUUUGCGUCCUGUACGUGGUAUGAAUUUUAGUCGUGAAUUUCUAUACGAUGCAUGAGUAUGUUUACAAUACAAUUUUGUAUGAUAUUUUCUGUACUCUGUAGAUUUUGUUGAGAAAGUUGCAUCUAUUUAACGUUUGACAACGUUCCGUUUAUGUAUCUGCGUCUUCUCUAGACACUUUUCCGAUUAUAAUGGGUUAAUGUUUUAGGUUAUAUGUUUAGAAUGCUAAAUGAUACCCUAUAAAACACAUGGCAAACCAAGAUACUACAAAUUAUCAUGCACUCUGUGCAAAUGAUAAAGAUGAAAUUGAAGGUCUUAAUGACAGAUUGUUACAGUUAUUAUCUGCACAGAAAGUUCCGUCGCAAAACGUUGAAAGUAAUAUAUUCCAAACAUUGAGCGAUGCUAGUACCAACAAUGGGAGCUUUAAAGCUGAAAAUAAAGCAUGUACCUGGCCAUUAUUUAAUCAUCCUAAACACGAUUGUUCUCUUUUACAUCAUGAUAGUCCAGUCAAUUUACCAAAUUUACCAACAUAUCUUCCACCUAUUGGAGUGUUUUGGGACAUAGAGAAUUGUCAUGUACCAAAAGGAAGGUCUGCUAUGGCAGCGACACAAGUAAUUAGGGAUAAAUUUUUUAGUGGUUACAGAGAAGCAGAAUUUAUUGUUGUUUGUGAUGUUAGGAAGGAAACUAGUCAUGUUGUGAAAGAAUUAAAUGAUGCUCAGGUUAAUUUAAUACAUGUUUCUGGAAGUUGUAAAAAUGCUGCAGAUGAAAAGCUUAAGCAGUCUAUACGGAGGUUUGCGGAUAUACAUGGAAGUCCAGCAGCUGUAAUUUUAAUAUCUAGUGAUAUUGAUUUUGCUGCUGACCUCAGUGAUUUACGUUAUAGGAAGAAAAUUCAUGUGAUACUUUUACAUAUGAAGUAUACUUCUGAAGCAUUAAUACUCUGUGCCAAUGAGCAUUAUGAUUUUUCAGAACUUAUGGAAUCACUGCCGUCCAGUACUGUAGAGGUUACUACAUUUUAUGACCUUCUAAUUUGUAACCUUCCUAAAGAUCAAGAUGUUUUGUCUAUUAAACGUCGUCUUAAACAAUUGUCAGAAAACUGUGGUGGACGUGUACUGGAUGUCCAAUCAAAUGUUGCAGUUGUACGUUUCACUUCACAGAUCUUUGCAGAAAGGGCCCAGAAACGUAUGGAUGGAAAAAUUGUCCUUGGUUCGAAAAUUUCGGUAAAAUUUCCAAAGGAGAAAGGAAGUUAUUUUCAAAAAUUUCAAAGUAAUCCACCACAAGGAAAUUAUACAAGUAGAAAUCGUGCCCUGAGUGAAUCAGAAAUUGCUAUUAACUCGUCAAAACAAAUGUACAGUACUUCGGUAACGGGUGGAAGAGCCCUUCAAAUUCCGCAUUACCAGUCAUCAUCUCCAGUUAUUGGGACAUAUGCUUCAGCAUGGAGUGCUCAUUGUGCUCCAGUCUCUGCACCACCGGGAAUGAUUCAGCCACCGCCUAUUUUCGUUGGGAGACCAUAUUCAAAUAAUAAUAAUGUAACUUUAAAUAGAACGUACAAUGAACUUGCACGGGUCCAAUCUCCAUUAUUUUGGCAAAUCUCUGGUUCACAACAGUUUGGUCAUAUGUGGGAAGAACAAUAUAAAGUGGAGAAAACAAAACUACUUAGUAGAAGAAUUCAUAUCCCGCAGGCUCGGGAUAAUACAGUUACAAAUAAUGUAUCCUCCCGAACUCCGGAAGGUUUAAGGCGUAUACGAGUAACCCACCAUUCUUUCGUUCAACCUUCAGAAUGGACUGGACCAAGACAACAAUCUCUAUUAAACGUUUCUGCCAGUUUCAAUGGAAACUCUCAAUCGAAUUCAUUCAAGCGCCGCAGUCCAUCUCCAAUGUGCGAUCUACAAGCGCGAGAACGAAAUCAGUGGAAUGGACAAAAUCAACAAUCUGCAUCUAUACGAAACACUAGAACACCAUCACCCUACGAAAAUUCUGUGCAAACAAACAAUCAACAAAAUAGUCACACAUCUCCUUAUCAACAGAGUGACGCAGAAAACGAAGAAGUUGAGAAAUUCUUCAACCCGAUCAUCACUCACAAUGGAACAAUAAACAACGAAACCUGCACACCUAUUGAAUUACAAGUCACAAAUCUAGACCAAAGUAUUAAUCCAAAAAAAAUGAGGCAUAUGCUCGCUUCAAUCUUUUUGGAACAUGUAAUGGUAUUAAACGUAUCGAUUUUUACACAGUCUGAUGGUAACUUUGCUGCUAGCGUCAAAGUGCCUUCCUUGUCAGACGCACAAUACGCAAUUUCUCAAUUACACCGGCGCAAAGUUGGUUACAAACGUAUUUUGAUUGCGUACGCUCACAGUGGCAGAGCAAGUCCUCAGGUUGUACGAGCGCAGAUCGUGAUGCUCUUGCAAGAAGUACCGGGACACAAGCUUCCACUUUUUAAAUUCCGAGAAAUGUACGAAAGUCGUUUUAUGAUUUCCAUCAGUGUUUCGGAGUUGUACAAAAUGAAAGAUGUCUGUAUCAUUACCGAAGAUCCUGGCGGUAGGAUGGUUUCUCUGAAUCCAGACCACAGGAACACUCCGUCGCCUUGUUUCAAUACUACAACUCAGGAAGAACAAGUGGAAUUACCAUACUGUGCUAUUCACAUGUUAAAACCAUGGUCCGAUAAAGGUUGGGCUGAACAAAAAGUAGCGUCUCUUCCUAACGUAAACAUUUCUUUAAAGAUUCUUGAUCCACGUAUACAUCAGUUGCUGAGUACGCAUAAUGGAAGUUUACCACUGCCUAGCUUGCCAAACUGUUAUGAGGCUGAGUUCAAAGAAAACAUUCAGGUAGCUGAGAACGGGGUACCGUUGGAGCAUUUGGUAUCUUGUUUAUCUUGCGUGGAACUGAAGCAGAGUAUGGGUAGUGUGAAGUAUCUUAUAUGGACGGGAAAUAAAACUCAUGAUAAUAAUCAUGAAGAAAACAAGUGUGUAAGUCCUCCACUUGCAAAUCAGUUAGCACUUUUUAGCCGGGAACUGGUUGAUCUGCUAAAAACUGCUCCGCACUGCCAAUUACCAUUUAAUCGAUUUAUACCAGCAUAUCACCAUCACUUUGGACGACAAUGUAGAGUUGCCGAUUACGGAUUCACUAAACUGAUCGACUUACUAGAAGCACUCACACACACUGUACAGGUAAUGGGCGAAGGAAAUAAUCGAGUGGUAACAUUAUCUCACCGUGCCCAAGUACGUCGUUUUACUUCUGAUCUGUUGAGAGUUCUAAAAUCUAAAGCCAGCAAACAAGUAGCACUGUCAGAGUUCCCAAGUGUUUAUGCGAGAGUAAUAGCUAAACCAUGGGACAUCGUGGAUUACGGUGUUUGUGAAAUUGAAGACAUUCUUAACGAAGUAUCAGAAAAUACUGUUGUCGUGACAACGAUCAGUGGCGGAGAUAGAAUGAUAGCCAUACCGAAACGAGAACAAACUGCGGAAGAGAUUGAGCGAACGAAGCAGUUCGCUGUGGAGGUUGUAGAAUUAUUAGGACACGCACCUCAAUGCAGAAUGCAGUUUAAUAAAUUCGUGCCUUCGUAUCAUCAUCAUUUCGGCCAUCAGUGUCGAGUGUCCGAUUAUGGUUUUACUAAGUUAAUUGAAUUGUUCGAGGCCAUACCGGACGUAGUCAAGAUCGAAGAUGACAACACCGGAGAACGACAAAUCUCCCUCACAGAAAAGGAAGGUUUUCGCGUCCUGUCUGAACAAAUAUCAAAAUUAAUCAUACGGUCAAAAGGUUGUCUCAGCAUUUCAAGCAUUCCGCAAAACUUUGUCCGACAGUUCGGUUACGCAUUAAGACCGGAAUCGUUCGACUGUUCAUCUAUACUAGAACUUAUGCAGAAGCUCGGAGAUACGGUGAAGGUUAUAUAUUUAUCAACCGAGCCGGUAGUUACAAUGGUAGAUAAGUCCCAUUUGCAACAAUUAACUUUACAAUGUCGUCGAGUAUUGAUGGACAAAGUUCAACGGAAAAUGACGGUUAAAGAAUUUCAACAAUCGUAUAACCAGUAUUAUUUAAAGCUGUGUAACAUGGACGAGCUUAAACAAAAUCUCUCUAACGUAAUUCAGUUUACAACGGUGAAUGACGAAGAAUUUAUAGAGCUCACUCCGUUACAUUGUUUCGCUUGUGAUUUAUACCGUAUAAUGAUGAAUUAUAACGGAACAUUGAAACUUCCUCAGUUUGAGACUGCAUAUUUAUCAACUAUGGGUGUUGUUUGUAAGCCUGCGAAAUACGGAUUUUCAACAAUGUUCGCAUUAUUGCAAGCGUUGCCCUGUACAGUUACGAUACAGAUAACGCGGCGUAAAAAGACAAUUAUACGUUUAAACAAAAAACUUGCUGCGGCUGGUAUACCGCUGCCACCUGCUUUUACGUCAGCGUCCCCGUAUCGUGAUACGGAUUCCAGUAACGAAUCGUUUGAAAGCGAUUCCUCUUCCCGCGUGAAUGUUUCCAAUAAUUCAGUUACGUUAGAAGAACAUGUGAAGUGGGCAGGACCAAAUACUGAAAGUCAGAAUUCGUGGAAACAAUCCGACGAAGAUAUUUUAUGGUAUAAGGAACCUGAACAGUGGAAAUUGUCAGCAUCGAAAGAUCAAUUAAUGAAUUGGUCGAUGCAAGAGAACGGGAGCGAAAGCUUCCUUAAAAGCUUAAUGCGUACUCCUAUUAUACCAUCUGCUUUCCCACCACCACCGCCCAAACCAGAUUCUCCACCUGAGGAGAAUUUAAAUAAAAAUCAGUGGGAAUCCUCUGUAUGGAUGACACCCACAAAGUACACAUAUCCACAGAAUGAACACACCAAUGUACAGGUUCCUCCAUUAACCCUACCUCCUUCUUGGAAUCAAAUAGUCUGCGGUGAUAGCGCAUCCAACUUGCUAUCGCCGACGAAAAAUUUACUACCUGCUGCGGCAAAUCCUUUGAAUCCACGCACGUCUCCUUACUUUUCCUCGAAACAUAACUUGGUUGUGGCUCCCCAUCCAUCUGAAUUACCGCUUCCUUCGUUGUCAUUGACUCCGAAAAAGAACGUAUUGUCGGAGAACAUUGUGACCGCGAAAAUUUUCGUGGGUAAACAAGAGAAUGUAAAGAAAUCAGUGGCCGAAUCAAACAUUGACUACGUCAACAAUAACACGGAGGUUGACGAUACCGACAAUGAAAAACAAAACACGCCCACAAAGCAGUGUACGUAGCCAGCGUGUUUUCUACAGUAGAACUCCCCUAUAAUACGAUUAAAAAAUUGUUAGAAAAUAACUAUAAAAGUGAAAAAAUAAUACGAGCAGAGGAAGAAGAUGAAUUAGUAUCCAAAAGGCGACUGUACACGGGGAAACGUCGCUUAGCUGCUCAGUUUAAUCAGCCCAUUGAAUCUUAAAGAAUAGAAAUAGUGUUUAAUAAUGUACAAACGUAUGCUGAAUGCAAAGAAGCUGUCAUUGGAGCACAGACAUACAUAUAUAUAUAUAUAUAGAUCAUAUACAAAUAUAUACAUACACACACAUCAUACACACACAUACACACAUUUCUCAGCCUUGAAAUGUGUUAUUUGGGAUUAAUAAAGAAGGGAUUUCUAGCAUCUCGGUAGGCUGUCACACAGCGGGCUCAAUACCUAUACACCGUUUCUUGAAUGGUAGGUACCCCUCCUCAUUUAUAUUUGAAAUAUAAUGGUAGUACUAUAUGGAUUUGAUACAUACGCGAUAAAGAACAGAAUUUAUUUUCAAGAAAUAUGAAAAUAUAUAUAUAUAUAAUAAUAAUAUUACCUAUGUACUAAGUAGCUAUUAUUUCUGAUUUGAAAAAUGCGAAUAAGUGUGCGGCGUUUAUACCGAGUGAUAUAUAUAUAUAUAUCGAUUAUACCGUAUAAAAAAAAUCCAUGUAGCAUUUUUCAUACUGUGAUAUAGAAUAGAAAGAAAGAGUGCAAAUGGUAGAAUAAUACAUGAGGGUAAACUUGAAAUUGGCAAUAAUUGUGCAUGUUCCAUAGGUUUGGGCUAUUAUUCCUGCAUCGAGUGCCACAAUUUUUAUUAAUAUUUCAAAUUAUGCUUCAAUUAGAGAUAUCUGCAUAAAGUUGACUAAUUACAGUGGUAGAUUCAGAGAAAUUAUUCGCAACGAAAAUCGCUCUCGUUAUUGAAAUUAAAUAUUUUUUUACAAUUUAUAUAAAUUGAAAAUAUUUGGUGUAUUUGUCAUGUUUAAUCGGUGGUACCUCUUUAUUGCAAAGAGAAUAUAAUCAGCCCAAUCCUAUCGAUUAUUGUAAAUUAUUGACCUAAAGAACGAUAUAAACAGCCAAGACCAUAUUAAUUAAAUUAUCGUAUCUAGAUAUAGUGUCGUUACCAACUACGAAACCGAAUAUAAUUCAUUUUAAUCGGUCAUUCGUUCACCUUAAAUUAUCCAUUUACACAAUUAUUUUCCUAUUUACGUUAGCGAAUUCCCUUCAUUAUUAUCUAUUUGUUUUUAUGGCACAUCUGAUUUUCUAAAAUUGUAUUACAAGUGAAUGUAUUUUGAAUAUUUUGAUAACAAAUCGAAAGACUUUGUAUGAUACUUUAAAAUGUCAUAUUAUCUCAUUAUGUACGCGAAGCUAAUUUUAAGUGGAAAAAUAUUUAUCAACUUACAUAUAAUCAUUGCCAAAUAGCUUAAAAUCGCAAGAACUACAAAGCGUAUGGUGCAAGCAAAAAGUCAAGUUUUUACGAAUUCUAAUUGAGACUAAUUCCUUAAAAAGAGAUUGUAAUACGGUGACACGUAAUUAAAAAGUUUUAUCCAGAAUAAGACAAAAUGCAAGACUCUGUAAAAUAAAUUAUAUCAAUCGGAUUGAAGAACAUUUAACUAAUGAUUACUUUUAAACAACGCUACUAUUUUACUGGAAUAUUUUCUGUUUUCAAUGUCAAGCGAGAACAUUGAAUUUGAAAAAAAAAAUGUUGGCAUUCAUUAUGUUGCAACGAUACAUUAUUAGUAGAUUUAAAUAAAUAACGCGAGGUACUAACAGAAAAGAUUGCUCUCUAUGAAGUACACGUAAACGAUCUUGUUGAUCUCAUAUUUUAUUUUAAUUAAU
This is an RNA transcript of Nomia melanderi (Alkali bee), 7111 nucleotides long. It is a transcript of the gene named meiosis regulator and mRNA stability factor 1-like protein, with no coding region annotated. Lineage: Eukaryota; Metazoa; Arthropoda; Insecta; Hymenoptera; Halictidae. The record is from RefSeq and is a predicted model, not a curated record.